This 615-nucleotide ribosomal RNA is filed under the name Nematoda environmental sample. RNAcentral describes it as "SSU rRNA". It matches the Rfam family "Eukaryotic small subunit ribosomal RNA", at positions 141 to 762 of the family's 1831-position model. Lineage: Eukaryota; Metazoa; Nematoda. The record is from RNAcentral.
GGAUACUGUGGUAAUUCUGGAGCUAUACAUGCAUAAAAGAUAAAACAUUUAUUGUUUUAUUGCGUAUAUUAGUAUUAAAACCAAGCAUUCUUCGGAAUGUUUUGUGUUGAAACUGAAUAUAUCAUGCUGAUCGUAUGGUCUUGUACCGACGACAUGUCAUUCAAGUGUCUGAUCUAUCAACUUUCUAUAUAAGUAUAUAGUACUUAUAUGGUUUUGACGGAUAACGGGGUAUUAGGGUACGACUCCGGAGAAAAUGCCUGAGAAACGGCGUUUACAUCCAAGGAAGGCAGCAGGCGCGAAAAUUACCCACUCUCAGUACGAGGAGGUAGUGACGAGAAAUGACAAGAUCUAUUCCUUCGGGGAUGGAUCAUUGGAAUGGUUUGAUUUUAAAAUCAUUAAAGAGUAUCAAUGAGAGGGCAAGUCUGGUGCCAGCAGCCGCGGUAAUUCCAGCUCUCAUACUGCAUUGAAUUGUUGUUGCGGUUAAAAAGCUCGUAGUUGGAUCUGUACAUGAUAGGUUAGUUCAUCCUUUGGAUUGUAACUAAUACUAAAUGUUUUUUAUUAGAUUUCUAUAUGGAUUUUCGGAUUCAUAAAGUAUCUAAUGAGUUUACUUUGAAU